RNAcentral lists this long non-coding RNA (1175 nucleotides) under Canis lupus familiaris (dog). Its description in RNAcentral is "lncRNA (ENSCAFG00845010490.1)". The record is from RNAcentral. Lineage: Eukaryota; Metazoa; Chordata; Mammalia; Carnivora; Canidae.
GAUGGCAGAUGAGGAUAACCCUUAAGCCUGGGCCGUCUAAAACUAGGGAGACCAAAGGGGCUUUUGUGGCCGCUGACUGGUGCAUACCGCUUCUCCAGCAUCCUGUACCUAUGGAUCAAGGUGCAGGGAGAGGAAUGCACCCCACCUGAGAGACUGCCAAAGACAAUCUGGGAAGGCGCACUGGUUAUUUUUCACAGAAGGGAGUUUGACCUUAGACCUCUUCCGCUCCAAGUGUCAGCUGGAAUCCUAGGAGAGAAUCUGACAUCUUGUCUAGGAGUGAUCCUUGCCUUAUUCCUCACUGACCAGGACUUCUGUUUGAAAUAGUCAAUAUUUGCCAGUGCCCCACACUCUCCACACAUCCCCCCACCAUCCCAGCUCCCAGCCAGCCAUGCUUCCAACACUAAGGCUCAGAGGGGAGUCCUGCCUUUACUUGGGGUAGACAGUGUCCCAGAGAGACAGACACCCUGACAGGCCAUGCCCUGAGGUAAGAACAGGCUUCCAUUGGCUCUGGUGCUGUGCCUUGUGUUUUCACACAUGCAACCUCACUUCAACCCUGUGGGGUGGUUCCUAUUAUCACUGUUUUGUGGAUAAUAAAGCCAGACGCAGAGCUCUGAGUAUAAGGUCACACAGCUAGCACUCGGCAGAGGCAGGAUUUGAACACAAGAGAUCUGGCUUUUACAUCACAUCAUCCCAGGAUUUGGAAGAGGAUUUAGUUGUGAAUAAGAAUCUUCCUGCUCCCCUUCCUCCAUUCUCUCUACCUGCAGACCUCAGAUCCUCCUGCCAGGAGCCUAAGGGCCUUUUGAGGGCAGUGCCCUGCUUCUGCCUCGUUAUUUGAGGAGUCUCAAGAGAGUGGGUCUACAUGAGAAAGUCACCCCUAAAUUAUACCCUGGGUAUCCUCAGUCCUCGGGCCCUGGCAAGGCAGCCUAGGCCCAAGGCCCUAAGGCUUUAUAAGAGUAUCAGCCAGAAAACCUGAGUGGCUCAGUUGGUUAAGUGAUCUGCCUUUGGCUCAGAUCAUGAUCUCAGGGUCCUGGGAUCAAGUCCUGCAUCAGGCUCCCUGCUCAUCGAGGAGUCUGCUUCUCCUUUCUCUGAUCCUCUUCCUGCUUCUCUCUCUCAAAUAAAUAAAAAUAUUUUUUUUUCUUAAAGAUUUUAUUUAUUUAUUCAUGAGAGACACACAC